AACCCCUGCAUUCAGUUGCCAUCGGGUAAUGCCGGGCACUCUGGAAGGACUGCCAUCGACAAGAUGGAGGAAGGUGGGGAUGACGUCAAGUCAUCAUGGCCCUUAUGUCCAGGGCGACACACGUGCUACAAUGGCCGGCACAACGGGAAGCGAGUUCGCGAGGACGAGCGGAUCCCUCAAAGCCGGUCGCAGUUCGGAUUGAAGUCUGCAACUCGACUUCAUGAAGCUGGAAUCGCUAGUAAUCGUGGAUCAGCUAAGCCGCGGUGAAUACGUUCCCGGGCCUU
RNAcentral lists this ribosomal RNA (284 nucleotides) under uncultured Synergistaceae bacterium. RNAcentral describes it as "partial 16S ribosomal RNA". It matches the Rfam family "Bacterial small subunit ribosomal RNA", at positions 1100 to 1382 of the family's 1533-position model. Lineage: Bacteria; Thermotogati; Synergistota; Synergistia; Synergistales; Synergistaceae. The record is from RNAcentral.